AGGCUUUGGUGCUGGCUGUGUGCUGUGUGUUCUCCUAGGCCCGCAGGCAGCUCGCCGCGGCCUGAGCCCCGGACAGCGUCCAGAUGUGCACGGCAGAGGGGGCUGGGCUGCCGGCGCGGGCGGCGCGGGGCGCAGC
Molecule: long non-coding RNA, 136 nt
Organism: Perognathus longimembris pacificus (Pacific pocket mouse)
Lineage: Eukaryota; Metazoa; Chordata; Mammalia; Rodentia; Heteromyidae
Exons: 3
Source: RefSeq, a predicted model, not a curated record